AAAUGUGAUAACUAGUGUGAAUUGCAGAAUUCCGUGAAUCAUCGAGUCUUUGAACGCACAUUGCGCCCCCUGGUAUUCCGGGGGGCAUGCCUGUCCGAGCGUCAUUGCUGCCCAUCAAGCACGGCUUGUGUGUUGGGUCGUCGUCCCCUCUCCGGGGGGGACGGGCCCCAAAGGCAGCGGCGGCACCGCGUCCGAUCCUCGAGCGUAUGGGGCUUUGUCACCCGCUCUGUAGGCCCGGCCGGCGCUUGCCGAACGCAAAUCAAUCUUUUUCCAGGUUGACCUCGGAUCAGGUAGGGAUACCCGCUGAACUUAAGC
This 315-nucleotide unclassified non-coding RNA is filed under the name plant metagenome. RNAcentral's name for it is "partial contains 5.8S ribosomal RNA, internal transcribed spacer 2, and large subunit ribosomal RNA". The stretch from base 1 to 104 matches the Rfam family "5.8S ribosomal RNA", at positions 51 to 154 of the family's 154-position model. The record is from RNAcentral.